RNAcentral lists this ribosomal RNA (468 nucleotides) under uncultured bacterium. Its description in RNAcentral is "partial 16S ribosomal RNA". It matches the Rfam family "Bacterial small subunit ribosomal RNA", at positions 28 to 507 of the family's 1533-position model. The record is from RNAcentral.
GAUGAACGCUGGCGGCGUGCUUAACACAUGCAAGUCGAACGGUGAAGGCGGAGCUUGCUCUGCUGGAUCAGUGGCGAACGGGUGAGUAACACGUGAGCAAUCUGCCCCUGACUCUGGGAUAAGCGCUGGAAACGGCGUCUAAUACUGGAUACGAGCUGCGAAGGCAUCUUCAGCAGCUGGAAAGAAUUUCGGUCAGGGAUGAGCUCGCGGCCUAUCAGCUUGUUGGUGAGGUAAUGGCUCACCAAGGCGUCGACGGGUAGCCGGCCUGAGAGGGUGACCGGCCACACUGGGGCUGAGACACGGCCCAGACUCCUACGGGAGGCAGCAGUGGGGAAUAUUGCACAAUGGGCGAAAGCCUGAUGCAGCAACGCCGCGUGAGGGACGACGGCCUUCGGGUUGUAAACCUCUUUUAGCAGGGAAGAAGCGAAAGUGACGGUACCUGCAGAAAAAGCGCCGGCUAACUACGUG